GUUAAACUUUUACUCCACAUGGCUGACAAACAGAGCAAGAUGAAGCCCAAAAUAAAGGAGCCACGAGCUGCUCUGGAGAAAUCAAGAAAAAUGGUAGAGAAGAUCAAAGAACUUGAUGAAAAAUUGAUUACUGUUUCCAAAGAAAAGGGUGAUUCAGCCCUGACCUCAGCAAAUGCUGAGAAGUGCUGUAACCAGCUGAUCAAGCAGAAAAUUAGCAUGAAAGAACAGAUAUCCAGGAUAUGAAAGAGCCGUUAGAGAAGGAGAAGAAUGUUGCCAAUGCUUGAAGUGCUCAAAACUAAUGGAUCUGAGAAGAGACUUGGAAGGAUAGGAGUCGAUUCUGGCAAAGUCAGAAAAGGAAAAACAGGUGAAAGCAAUCAAGGUUUUCACUAAAAUAUGGUUGUAAAUUCCCCACAUAUCUGC
Long non-coding RNA from Cyprinus carpio carpio, 420 nucleotides. Lineage: Eukaryota; Metazoa; Chordata; Actinopteri; Cypriniformes; Cyprinidae. The record is from Ensembl.